RNAcentral lists this ribosomal RNA (253 nucleotides) under uncultured bacterium. Its description in RNAcentral is "partial 16S ribosomal RNA". It matches the Rfam family "Bacterial small subunit ribosomal RNA", at positions 524 to 776 of the family's 1533-position model. The record is from RNAcentral.
UACGAAGGGGGCUAGCGUUGCUCGGAAUCACUGGGCGUAAAGGGUGCUUAGGCGGGUCUUUAAGUCAGGGGGGAAAUCCUGGAGCUCAACUCCAGAACUGCCUUUGAUACUGAAGAUCUUGAGUUCGGGAGAGGUGAGUGGAACUGCGAGUGUAGAGGUGAAAUUCGUAGAUAUUCGCAAGAACACCAGUGGCGAAGGCGGCUCACUGGCCCGAUACUGACGCUGAGGCACGAAAGCGUGGGGAGCAAACAGG